CGGCGGACGGGUGAGUAACACGUGGAUAACUUACCUAUAAGACUGGGAUAACUUCGGGAAACCGGAGCUAAUACCGGAUAAUAUAUUGAACCGCAUGGUUCAAUAGUGAAAGACGGUUUUGCUGUCACUUAUAGAUGGAUCCGCGCCGCAUUAGCUAGUUGGUAAGGUAACGGCUUACCAAGGCAACGAUGCGUAGCCGACCUGAGAGGGUGAUCGGCCACACUGGAACUGAGACACGGCCCAGACUCCUACGGGAGGCAGCAGUG
This 266-nucleotide ribosomal RNA is filed under the name uncultured Staphylococcus sp. RNAcentral's name for it is "partial 16S ribosomal RNA". It matches the Rfam family "Bacterial small subunit ribosomal RNA", at positions 96 to 356 of the family's 1533-position model. The record is from RNAcentral. Lineage: Bacteria; Bacillati; Bacillota; Bacilli; Caryophanales; Staphylococcaceae.